RNAcentral lists this ribosomal RNA (115 nucleotides) under Octodon degus (degu). Lineage: Eukaryota; Metazoa; Chordata; Mammalia; Rodentia; Octodontidae. The record is from RNAcentral.
GUCUCUGGCCAUACCGACCUGAACAUGUCCAGUCUCGUCUGAUCUUGCAAGCUGAGCGGGGUCAGGCCUGGUUAAUACUGGAUGGGAGAACUGGAUCAUUUAUAUUCUGCAGGCA